UUCCUUCUCGGACCAUAGUGAGAGAGUACGUUGAUUAGCACUACUACUUAUUCUAUUUAUUUCAACCACCAAAUCAAUCAAAUCACUUUUACUCAUAUCCAAUAAAUGCAAUGAAGAUUCACUAAAGAGAUGUAAGUUAUGUAAAACUUUAGAUCGAGAACUUACCUCAUCAUUUGAAGUGGAGACAUCCGAUGACGAA
RNAcentral lists this long non-coding RNA (199 nucleotides) under Daucus carota (carrot). Its description in RNAcentral is "long non-coding RNA (DCAR_LNC006756)". The record is from RNAcentral. Lineage: Eukaryota; Viridiplantae; Streptophyta; Magnoliopsida; Apiales; Apiaceae.